UACGGAGGGUGCAAGCGUUAAUCGGAAUUACUGGGCGUAAAGGGAGCGUAGGUGGACCUUUAAGUGAGAUGUGAAAUACCCAGGGCUCAACCUGGAAACUGCAUUUGAAACUGGCAAGCUUGAGUCUCGUAGAGGGGGGUAGAAUUCCAGGUGUAGCGGUGAAAUGCGUAGAGAUCUGGAGGAAUACCGGUGGCGAAGGCGGCCCCCUGGACGAAGACUGACGCUCAGGUGCGAAAGCGUGGGGGGCAAACAGG
Molecule: ribosomal RNA, 254 nt
Filed under: uncultured bacterium
Lineage: Bacteria
Description: partial 16S ribosomal RNA
Rfam family: Bacterial small subunit ribosomal RNA
Source: RNAcentral